Long non-coding RNA from Myotis davidii, 109 nucleotides. RefSeq lists it as uncharacterized. The transcript is spliced from 3 exons. NCBI's taxonomy places the organism in Eukaryota, Metazoa, Chordata, Mammalia, Chiroptera, Vespertilionidae. The record is from RefSeq and is a predicted model, not a curated record.
CAUGGUAAUUGGCCAAUUUUGCCCUAACAGGUUUAGCUCAUUGGAUAGAGCGUCAGCCUGCGGAUUCAAGGGUCCCAGGUUCAAUUCCGGUCAAGGGCAUGUACCUUGG